GCCUUUUCUUCUCCUGACACUGCAAUCCAUGUGGCAUUCAGACUUUAAUAUGGGACUAUUUCUCCGUUGGAAGGUUUCUGACAAGAAUAAUACUACUUUGCAUUUAUCCAAGCCUUCCAAAGCACAUCACCAGGAUUUUCUAAAAGCAGUAAUUUCUUAUACAAUGAAAUUACGCCAGCAGAAGAGAGGAAGCCACCUCAAUUGCACAGUUUAUCUCCAUUGAGAACUGAUCCAGCAUAUCAAGUGUCAGGUUUAAAAAACAUCCUUAAU
RNAcentral lists this long non-coding RNA (270 nucleotides) under Crocodylus porosus (Australian saltwater crocodile). RNAcentral describes it as "lncRNA (ENSCPRG00005008525.1)". Lineage: Eukaryota; Metazoa; Chordata; Crocodylia; Crocodylidae. The record is from RNAcentral.